Molecule: ribosomal RNA, 460 nt
Filed under: uncultured bacterium
Lineage: Bacteria
Description: partial 16S ribosomal RNA
Rfam family: Bacterial small subunit ribosomal RNA
Source: RNAcentral
CCUACGGGCGGCAGCAGUGAGGAAUAUUGGUCAAUGGGCGUAAGCCUGAACCAGCCAAGUCGCGUGAGGGAUGAAGGUUCUAUGGAUCGUAAACCUCUUUUAUAAGGGAAUAAAGUGCGGGACGUGUCCCGUUUUGUAUGUACCUUAUGAAUAAGGAUCGGCUAACUCCGUGCCAGCAGCCGCGGUAAUACGGAGGAUCCGAGUGUUAUCCGGAUUUAUUGGGUUUAAAGGGUGCGUAGGCGGCCUUUUAAGUCAGCGGGGAAAGUCUGUGGCUCAACCAUAGAAGUGCCGUGGAAACUGGGAGGCUUGAGUAUGUUUGAGGCAGGCGGAAUGCGUGGUGUAGCGGUGAAAUGCUUAGAUAUCACGCAGAACCACGAUUGCGAAGGCAGCCUGCCAAGCCAUGACUGACGCUGAUGCACGAAAGCGUGGGGAUCAAACAGGAUUAGAUACCCUUGUAGUC